UACGUAGGGCGCAAGCGUUGUCCGGAAUUAUUGGGCGUAAAGAGCUCGUAGGCGGUCUGUCGCGUCUGUUGUGAAAGCCCGGGGCUUAACCCCGGGUCUGCAGUGGAUACGGGCAGGCUAGAGGCAGGUAGGGGAGAGCGGAAUUCCUGGUGUAGCGGUGAAAUGCGUAGAGAUCGGGAGGAACAUCAGUGGCGAAGGCGGCCAUCUGGGACAACACUGACGCUGAAGCACGAAAGCGUGGGGAGCAAACAGG
Molecule: ribosomal RNA, 253 nt
Filed under: uncultured bacterium
Lineage: Bacteria
Description: partial 16S ribosomal RNA
Rfam family: Bacterial small subunit ribosomal RNA
Source: RNAcentral